GGUUAAGCGACUAAGCGUACACGGUGGAUGCCCUGGCAGUCAGAGGCGAUGAAGGACGUGCUAAUCUGCGAAAAGCGCCGGCGAGGUGAUAUGAACCCUUGACCCGGCGAUGUCCGAAUGGGGAAACCCAGUGUGUUCCGACACACUAUCGUUAACUGAAUACAUAGGUUAACGAGGCGAACCGGGGGAACUGAAACAUCUAAGUACCCCGAGGAAAAGAAAUCAACCGAGAU
Molecule: ribosomal RNA, 233 nt
Filed under: Enterobacter hormaechei subsp. xiangfangensis
Lineage: Bacteria; Pseudomonadati; Pseudomonadota; Gammaproteobacteria; Enterobacterales; Enterobacteriaceae
Description: partial 23S ribosomal RNA
Rfam family: Bacterial large subunit ribosomal RNA
Source: RNAcentral